Molecule: ribosomal RNA, 404 nt
Filed under: uncultured bacterium
Lineage: Bacteria
Description: partial 16S ribosomal RNA
Rfam family: Bacterial small subunit ribosomal RNA
Source: RNAcentral
GACGAACGCUGGCGGCGUGCUUAACACAUGCAAGUCGAGCGGAGCGGCGAACAGGUGAGUAACGCGUGAGUAACUGCCCCCCUCUCUGGGAUAACAGUUGGAAACGGCUGCUAAUACCGGCUAGUGGGGGAUGACUCGCGUCCUAUCAGCUUGUUGGUGGGGUAGUGGCCUACCAAGGGGACGACGGGUAGCCGGCCUGGGAGGGCGACCGGCCACAUGGGGCUGAGAUACGGCCCAAAGUAGUACGGGAGGCAGCAGUGGGGAAUAUUGCACAAUGGGGGCAACCCUGAGGCAGCAAGGCGCGUGCGGGAUGACGGCUUUCGGGUUGUAAACCGCUUUCAGCCAUGACGCGGUAGUGGAAGAAGAAGCACCGGCUAACUACGUGCCAGCAGCCGCGGUAAUAC